GAAUUAGAGUUGCUUUGACAUAUAACUUACGGGCUAUGCAGUGAUAAGAUAAAGAUGUGCUAGCUGGUGCUUGGGGAAAACUGUGAUACUGGCAGUAUCUUCAGCAGCUGAGUGCUGCCUUUUUGAGGACUUUCCUUGAUGGAAAACAAUACUCAGGUAUAUGUGUUUACGUCAGAUAUAUUGUAGGAAGUGUUAGGGGAACAAGCAGAGUUGGGUGAAGAAGCAGCAGCUCCCGUAGGGGAACAGAAAAGUGAAUACUAACUACUAAAUGGAAGAAUGUUUGAUGCAUCCAAUCCAUGUGACGUUACUGAGAGAUGCAAGGUGCUCUAGCUGCUGUUUCCUCCAGUCGCCGUGCAACUUCCAUGCACCAACACUUGCUGGAUCUGACUAA
This 391-nucleotide long non-coding RNA is filed under the name Numida meleagris (helmeted guineafowl). Its description in RNAcentral is "lncRNA (ENSNMEG00000001251.1)". The record is from RNAcentral. Lineage: Eukaryota; Metazoa; Chordata; Aves; Galliformes; Numididae.